UCGGGAAUUUUGGGCAAUGGGCGAAAGCCUGACCCAGCAACGCCGCGUGAGGGAUGAAGUAUUUCGGUAUGUAAACCUCGAAAGAAUGGGAAGAAUAAAUGACGGUACCAUUUAUAAGCUCCGGCUAACUACGUGCCAGCAGCCGCGGUAAUACGUAGGGAGCAAGCGUUGUUCGGAUUUACUGGGCGUAAAGGGCGCGUAGGCGGCGCGGUAAGUCACUUGUGAAAUCUCUGAGCUUAACUCAGAACGGCCAAGUGAUACUGCUGUUCUAGAGUGCGGAAGCGGCAACCGGAAUUCUGGGUGUAGCGGUGAAAUGCGUAGAUAUCAAGAGGAACACCUGAGGCGAAGGCGGGUUGCUGGGCCGACACUGACGCUGAUGCGCGAAAGCCAGGGGAGCAAACG
RNAcentral lists this ribosomal RNA (402 nucleotides) under uncultured bacterium. RNAcentral's name for it is "bacterial SSU rRNA". It matches the Rfam family "Bacterial small subunit ribosomal RNA", at positions 355 to 774 of the family's 1533-position model. The record is from RNAcentral.